RNAcentral lists this ribosomal RNA (662 nucleotides) under uncultured bacterium. RNAcentral's name for it is "bacterial SSU rRNA". It matches the Rfam family "Bacterial small subunit ribosomal RNA", at positions 126 to 807 of the family's 1533-position model. The record is from RNAcentral.
CUACCCUGUACACACGGAUAACAUACCGAAAGGUAUGCUAAUACGGGAUAAUAUAUUUGAGAGGCAUCUCUUGAAUAUCAAAGGUGAGCCAGUACAGGAUGGACCCGCGUCUGAUUAGCUAGUUGGUAAGGUAACGGCUUACCAAGGCGACGAUCAGUAGCCGACCUGAGAGGGUGAUCGGCCACAUUGGAACUGAGACACGGUCCAAACUCCUACGGGAGGCAGCAGUGGGGAAUAUUGCACAAUGGGCGAAAGCCUGAUGCAGCAACGCCGCGUGAGUGAUGAAGGCCUUCGGGUCGUAAAACUCUGUCCUCAAGGAAGAUAAUGACGGUACUUGAGGAGGAAGCCCCGGCUAACUACGUGCCAGCAGCCGCGGUAAUACGUAGGGGGCUAGCGUUAUCCGGAUUUACUGGGCGUAAAGGGUGCGUAGGCGGUCUUUCAAGUCAGGAGUGAAAGGCUACGGCUCAACCGUAGUAAGCUCUUGAAACUGGGAGACUUGAGUGCAGGAGAGGAGAGUGGAAUUCCUAGUGUAGCGGUGAAAUGCGUAGAUAUUAGGAGGAACACCGGUUGCGAAGGCGGCUCUCUGGACUGUAACUGACGCUGAGGCACGAAAGCGUGGGGAGCAAACAGGAUUAGAUACCCUGGUAGUCCACGCUGUAAAC